This 1689-nucleotide unclassified non-coding RNA is filed under the name Hevea brasiliensis (rubber tree). The record is from RNAcentral. Lineage: Eukaryota; Viridiplantae; Streptophyta; Magnoliopsida; Malpighiales; Euphorbiaceae.
UUUCUUUUUUUUUUUUAUAUUUUUUUUGGUGCUGUUUGAUAAAAUUUGAAGUAUAGAGAGGUGUUCUUUUGAAAGAAGAUGAGUAAGCAGACCAGGCUAGUGUUUAAAUGGAUGAUGAUGAUUAAAGUUGGAUGAAGAAAAGUACCAUAUAUUACAGAAAAAAUAAUGUAGCUUUGUUUAGUGAAUAUUUCCCUAACACAAGAGAUGAAGUGAAAGCUCAUGGGGUAACGUUUAGCCAAGGAUAUGUAACAAUAUAGGCUGAUGAAGGGCAGGUCCACAACAAUUUAAAAUUUAAAAUUAAAAAAAAAAAUGCAUUUAUAAUUCGAAUAUAAAUCGAAUAUUUUUUUUACUCUAUUUAGAAUAUCCAACAAACAAUCAUUUUGACCACAACAUAUGCAGAAAACAGUUUUUGCUGUUUCUUAUGAUGAACAUAUCCAUUUUCAACCACUACAUCUCACAAGCUUUGUGAUCAGAUACCCAAUUCUCCAAUGUUUAUAAAGUCAUAUUGAGUAUAAAGAUGUAAACUCAAACUGUAUAGACUUUGCUCUAUACUACAUGAAUGCUAUAUUGCCAUCUUCCAUAGCAGCCACCAUUAAGUAAAUGAACAGCAAUCAUGCCUAUUAGUUAAGGAACUCAUAGAUAAAUUCUCCAAAGAAAAGCCCCAAAUAACUAACCAGAGGCCUGUCAUUGUCGUCAACAGGAACUUUUUCCAUUGCUGCCAAUGUAGUCAAGCCACCAACAACCCCACCAAAAACUGUAUGUUUAAAGUUCAAAUGAUUUGCAGACUUGUAAAGGAUGAAAAACUGAGAACCAUUGGUGUGGGGCCCACUGUUUGCCAUACUGACAACCCCUCUUCCAGAGUGGAGCAACUUGGAGUUCAGCUCAUCUUUGAAAGGCUUCCCCCAUAUAGAUUCUCCUCCUCUCCCAGUACCAGUAGGAUCACCACCUUGAAUCAUAAAAUUCCGAAUGCUUCUAUGAAAAGCAACUCCAUUAUAGUAGCCUUGCUCACAAAGAGUGAUGAAGUUCUCGCAUGUCCUUGGAGUUAUAUCACAGUGCAGCUCAAUGUUCAAAUCACCAUGUGUUGUAUGCAGCUGAACAUAACCUUUCUUCUUUGGAUUUUUCUCAACUUUGAUAUAUUCAAAGUCAUUUUUGGUGACAGGAUCAAAAGAGGUAGAAGUGAAUGAUCGUGAAGCAGCGCCAGUGGUGUAACGACUCUUUACCAUCUUUGCAUUCACAGGUGCCCUCUCACCAGCCAUGUGCAUGGCUAUCCGAGCAGCAGUUUUAUCACCUGAUGCAGCUUUAGCUGCAGCAGCACUUCUCCCAUGUACUGCAGCAGAUGCAGCAUCUACGAUACUAUAUGCUUGUCGGGGCUUAGACUCUCCAUUUGAAUCUGAUUUGGAAUCCUCUUUAAUACGCGAUCUUGCAGCCAAAAUGGCAGCAAGGGCAGCAGCUCUUUCAUUUUGUGCCUUACUGCCACCUCCACCAUGAAGUGCAGUUUGUUUUGCUUUCUCAGUUCCAAGCUCCUCCAGCAUCUGCUUCAUAUCUCCAGUAGCAUUUAUGUUAUACAUUGCAUCUGAACUCAUUUUCUUUAGCUCUUCAUCAUCAACUUUCAGACCGUUCUUAACAUGGUCAAAAUCCAGAGUGACCUUACUGUCAAGUGCAUUCGGAUUCUGAAUUGUUAUCAAGUCU